GAAAUGCGAUAAGUAAUGUGAAUUGCAGAAUUCAGUGAAUCAUCGAAUCUUUGAACGCACCUUGCGCUCCUUGGUAUUCCUUGGAGCAUGCCUGUUUGAGUAUCAUGAAAUCUUCAAAGUAAAUCUUUUGUUAACUCAAUUGGCUUCUACUUUGGUAUUGGAGGUCUUUGCAGCUUCACACCUGCUCCUCUUUGUUCAUUGGCUGGAUCUCAGUGUUAUGCUUGGUUCCACUCGGCGUGAUAAGUUAUCUAUCGCUGAGGACACUGUAAAAGGUGGCCAAGGUAAAUGCAGAUGAACCGCUUCUAAUAGUCCAUUGACUUGGACAAUACUUUUAUGAUCUGAUCUCAAAUCAGGUAGGACUACCCGCUGAACUUAAGC
RNAcentral lists this unclassified non-coding RNA (378 nucleotides) under plant metagenome. RNAcentral describes it as "partial contains 5.8S ribosomal RNA, internal transcribed spacer 2, and large subunit ribosomal RNA". The stretch from base 1 to 105 matches the Rfam family "5.8S ribosomal RNA", at positions 50 to 154 of the family's 154-position model. The record is from RNAcentral.